This 168-nucleotide ribosomal RNA is filed under the name Sus scrofa (pig). RNAcentral's name for it is "partial small subunit ribosomal RNA". The record is from RNAcentral. Lineage: Eukaryota; Metazoa; Chordata; Mammalia; Artiodactyla; Suidae.
CAAUAGUUACUAACAAACUAUUCGCCAGAGUACUACUCGCAACUGCCUAAAACUCAAAGGACUUGGCGGUGCUUCACAUCCACCUAGAGGAGCCUGUUCUAUAAUCGAUAAACCCCGAUAGACCUUACCAACCCUUGCCAAUUCAGCCUAUAUACCGCCAUCUUCAGC